This 254-nucleotide ribosomal RNA is filed under the name uncultured bacterium. Its description in RNAcentral is "partial 16S ribosomal RNA". It matches the Rfam family "Bacterial small subunit ribosomal RNA", at positions 524 to 776 of the family's 1533-position model. The record is from RNAcentral.
UACGAAGGGGGCUAGCGUUGCUCGGAAUCACUGGGCGUAAAGAGCUCGUAGGCGGUUUGGCAAGUCGGGUGUGAAAACUCCGGGCUCAACUCGGAGACGCCACUCGAUACUGCUAUGACUCGAGUCCGGUAGGGGAGUGCGGAAUUCCUGGUGUAGCGGUGAAAUGCGCAGAUAUCAGGAGGAACACCGGUGGCGAAGGCGGCACUCUGGGCCGGUACUGACGCUGAGGAGCGAAAGCGUGGGGAGCGAACAGG